RNAcentral lists this ribosomal RNA (221 nucleotides) under uncultured bacterium. RNAcentral describes it as "partial 16S ribosomal RNA". It matches the Rfam family "Bacterial small subunit ribosomal RNA", at positions 129 to 334 of the family's 1533-position model. The record is from RNAcentral.
CCUUCAACAGGGGGAUAACACUCCCAACGGAGUGCUAAUACCGCAUGAGACCACGGGGUCGCAUGGCCCUGAGGUCAAAGGUGGCCUCUAUUUAUAAGCUACCGGUUGAGGAUGGCUUCGCGUCCCAUUAGCUAGUUGGCGGUGUAAAAGACCACCAAGGCGACGAUGGGUAGCUGGUCUGAGAGGAUGGUCAGCCACACUGGGACUGAGAUACGGCCCAG